AGGCCUUGUGAUGAGAACUGAUUGUUAUAUCUCAUGUCGGUCAUCUGAGACACUCAUAAUGGUGUAUAGAAUGAUGAUAAAACUCCAAUCUCUGAUGACU
Elaeis guineensis (African oil palm) is the source of this 100-nucleotide small nucleolar RNA. RefSeq annotates it as small nucleolar RNA Z161/Z228. The record is from RefSeq and is a predicted model, not a curated record. Lineage: Eukaryota; Viridiplantae; Streptophyta; Magnoliopsida; Arecales; Arecaceae.